UACAGAGGGUGCUAGCGUUAAUCGGAAUUACUGGGCGUAAAGGGUGUGUAGGUGGUUAUAUAAGUUAGAUGUGAAAUCCCUGGGCUCAACCUGGGAACUGCGUUUAAGACUGUGUAACUAGAGUACUGUAGAGGAUAGUGGAAUUUCCAGUGUAGCGGUGAAAUGCGUAGAUAUUGGAAGGAACACCGGUGGCGAAAGCGGCGCGCUGGACCUCUUCUGACGCUGAGGCGCGAAAGCCAGGGGAGCAAACGGG
This 253-nucleotide ribosomal RNA is filed under the name uncultured bacterium. RNAcentral's name for it is "partial 16S ribosomal RNA". It matches the Rfam family "Bacterial small subunit ribosomal RNA", at positions 524 to 776 of the family's 1533-position model. The record is from RNAcentral.